CUCACCAGGUCAGGACACGGUAAGGAUUGACGGACUGAAGGCUUCUUUCUCGAUUCCGUGGAAAGUGGUGCAUGGUCCGUUUUUGGUUGGUGGAUCGAUCCGUCUGGUUAAUUCCGUUAACGAACGAGACCUCGGCACUCCGAAUAGCGCGGCGGACGUCGCGGCCUCCGGGCCGUCUUCCGCACGAGCUUCUUAGAGGGACCGUCCCCCGCCGGGGAAGGAGGUGCGAGGCAACGACAGGUCUGUGAUGCCCUUAGAUGUUCUGGGCCGCACGCGCAUUACACUGACGCGUCCAACGGGUGACUCCCGACCCGAAGGGGCCGGGGAAUCCGCAAGGCGCGUCGUGAUGGGGAUUGAACGUUGCAAUUGUUGUUCACGAACGAGGAAUUCCUAGUAGGCGCGGGUCAUCAACCCGCGCCGAUUACGUCCCUGCCC
RNAcentral lists this ribosomal RNA (435 nucleotides) under uncultured eukaryote. RNAcentral's name for it is "bacterial SSU rRNA". It matches the Rfam family "Eukaryotic small subunit ribosomal RNA", at positions 1214 to 1658 of the family's 1831-position model. The record is from RNAcentral.